This 115-nucleotide ribosomal RNA is filed under the name Alphaproteobacteria bacterium. The record is from RNAcentral. RNAcentral also lists the same sequence under 1 other name. Lineage: Bacteria; Pseudomonadati; Pseudomonadota; Alphaproteobacteria.
CUUGGUGACUGUGGCGAAACGCCUAAACCCGAUCCCAUCCCGAACUCGGAAGUUAAACGUUUCAGCGCCGAUGGUACUGCAUCUUAAGGUGUGGGAGAGUAGGUCGUUGCCAGGU